Long non-coding RNA from Perca fluviatilis (European perch), 328 nucleotides. RefSeq lists it as uncharacterized. Lineage: Eukaryota; Metazoa; Chordata; Actinopteri; Perciformes; Percidae. The transcript is spliced from 3 exons. The record is from RefSeq and is a predicted model, not a curated record.
GUCAUUCGUCUUCUGUUGUGAGUCUUUGUGUGUUAGUUCCUUCCAGUCGGAGGCGUGGCUCUUCAGGCUUAACCAGGCACACCUGAAAUCCAUUCACAAUCAAGCACAGUACAAGAAACGCAGCUCUUCUCUCACUCACUGCCAGAUUGUUUUCCCAUUCGCAUGUGCACCUGUUGAAGCUGAGCCUGCCUGGAAGCUGAUCUACUGCCGUUACCUGCCACAAAUCCCACACCACCUGAAGUCUGCUCACGUCAAGAUUGUCAGUUCAUCACCUUUUCCCCUCCCUGUCGUGCAAGAAUAGAGCUGAAAUAAAUUGCUUAGAACUAUA